CCUACGGGAGGCAGCAGUGGGGAAUAUUGGUCAAUGGGCGCAAGCCUGACCCAGCAACGCCGCGUGAAGGAAGAAGGCUCUCGGGUUGUAAACUUCUUUUUAUAGGGAAGAGUAGAAGACGGUACCUGUCGAAUAAUCCAUGGCUAACUACGGGCCAGCAGCAGCGGUCAUACGUAGGUGGCAAGCGUUGUCCGGAUUUACUGGGUGUAAAGGGCGUGUAGCCGGGUUGACAAGUCAGAUGUGAAAUCCUACGGCUUAACCGCAGAACUGCAUUUGAAACUGUUGAUCUUGAGUACUGGAGAGGCAGACGGAAUGCCUAGUGUAGCGGUGAAAUGCGUAGAUAUUAGGAGGAACACCAGUGGCGAAGGCGGUCUGCUGGACAGCAACUGACGGUGAGGCGCGAAAGCGUGGGGAGCAAACAGGAUUAGAUACCCGAGUAGUC
This 442-nucleotide ribosomal RNA is filed under the name uncultured bacterium. RNAcentral's name for it is "partial 16S ribosomal RNA". It matches the Rfam family "Bacterial small subunit ribosomal RNA", at positions 338 to 795 of the family's 1533-position model. The record is from RNAcentral.